This 328-nucleotide ribosomal RNA is filed under the name Hoplobatrachus rugulosus (rugose frog). RNAcentral describes it as "partial 12S ribosomal RNA". It matches the Rfam family "Bacterial small subunit ribosomal RNA", at positions 898 to 1407 of the family's 1533-position model. Lineage: Eukaryota; Metazoa; Chordata; Amphibia; Anura; Dicroglossidae. The record is from RNAcentral.
AACCCAAAGGACUUGACGGUGUCCCACCCAACUAGAGGAGCCUGUUCUAUAAUCGAUAACCCCCGCUUCACCCAACCCCCCCUUGCUUUAUCAGCCUGUAUACCUCCGUCGUAAACCCGCCGUAUGAAUGAUUCAAUGGUCCACCAACACGCCAGGUCAAGGUGCAGCCAAUGGAGGUGGUAAGUAAUGGGCUACAAUUUCUAAUCUAGAACAAACGAAGUACUGCAUGAAACACAGUCAUGAAGGAGGAUUUAGUAGUAAAAAGAAAGUAGCGUGUUCUUUUUAACACGGCCCUGGGCACGUGUACACACCGCCCGUCGCCCUCUUC